RNAcentral lists this ribosomal RNA (253 nucleotides) under uncultured bacterium. RNAcentral's name for it is "partial 16S ribosomal RNA". It matches the Rfam family "Bacterial small subunit ribosomal RNA", at positions 524 to 776 of the family's 1533-position model. The record is from RNAcentral.
UACGGAGGGUGCAAGCGUUAUCCGGAUUCACUGGGUUUAAAGGGUGCGUAGGUGGGUUGAUAAGUCAGUGGUGAAAUCCCCGAGCUUAACUUGGGAACUGCCAUUGAUACUAUUGAUCUUGAAUACCGUGGAGGUCAGCGGAAUAUGUCAUGUAGCGGUGAAAUGCUUAGAUAUGACAUAGAACACCAAUUGCGAAGGCAGCUGGCUACGCGAAUAUUGACACUGGGGCACGAAAGCGUGGGGAUCAAACAGG